Molecule: unclassified non-coding RNA, 253 nt
Filed under: uncultured Gaiellales bacterium
Lineage: Bacteria; Bacillati; Actinomycetota; Thermoleophilia; Gaiellales
Description: contains 16S-23S intergenic spacer region
Rfam family: Bacterial small subunit ribosomal RNA
Source: RNAcentral
UACGUAGGGGGCAAGCGUUGUCCGGAAUCAUUGGGCGUAAAGAGCGUGUAGGCGGCUCGGUCAGUCUGGUGUGAAAUCCCGAGGCUCAACCUCGGACUGUCAUCGGAUACUGCCGGGCUAGAGUCCGGAAGAGGAGAGUGGAAUUCCUGGUGUAGCGGUGGAAUGCGCAGAUAUCAGGAGGAACACCUGUGGCGAAGGCGGCUCUCUGGUACGGAACUGACGCUGAGACGCGAAAGCGUGGGGAGCGAACAGG